This 774-nucleotide ribosomal RNA is filed under the name uncultured Neocallimastigales. RNAcentral's name for it is "partial large subunit ribosomal RNA". It matches the Rfam family "Eukaryotic large subunit ribosomal RNA", at positions 22 to 644 of the family's 3401-position model. The record is from RNAcentral. Lineage: Eukaryota; Fungi; Neocallimastigomycota; Neocallimastigomycetes; Neocallimastigales.
GUACACGCUGUGACUAGCAUAUCAAUAAGCGGAGGAAAAGAAACUAACAAGGAUUCCCCUAGUAACGGCGAGUGAAGCGGGAAGAGCUCAAAUUUGAAAUCUUAAAGGGUUUCCCUUUACGAAUCGUAGUUUAAAGAAGUGUUUUCUGUUGAGGUUUUGGUAAAAGUUCUUUGGAAUAGGACAUCAUAGAGGGUGAGAAUCCCGUAUUUGACCUUUACUUUCAACUUUGUGAUACACUUUCAAAGAGUCGGAUUGUUUGGGAAUGCAGUCCAAAAUGGGUGGUAAAUUUCAUCUAAAGCUAAAUAUUGGCGAGAGACCGAUAGCGAACAAGUACCGUGAGGGAAAGAUGAAAAGAACUUUGAAAAGAGAGUUAAACAGUACGUGAAAUUGUCAAAAGGGAAGCGUUUGACACCAGUGUUGUUUUUCUGAAAAUCAAUUAAAGAACUGUUUAUGCUAAGUUGUUUAGACUUUAUCAGCUAUCUGUUUAGUUUUGAUGCUUUUCUUUAAUGCACUUUUCAGUUAACAAGUCAACAUCAAUUUCUUUUGCUGUAAAAAAGCUUGAGGAAGGUGGCUUGAGAUUCGUCUUAAGUGUUUAUAGCCUCUUGCCUAUGCAGUCGGAGAGAUUGAGGUCUGCAGCGUAGAUCCUUCGGGGCUAAAUGCAUUUGUGCUAAGUUAUAGCAUUUUAUAGACAACUUGUUGACUAUGAUUUGUCUUGUAGCUUACUCGCUUAUGUUAUUUUACCUACGCUUAGGAUGUUGAAGUCAUCGUAUCGCG